AAAGGGUGCGUAGGCGGGCAGGUAAGUCAGUGGUGAAAUCUUUGGGCUUAACCCGAAAACUGCCAUUGAUACUAUCUGUCUUGAAUAUUGUGGAGGUGAGCGGAAUAUGUCAUGUAGCGGUGAAAUGCUUAGAGAUGACAUAGAACACCAAUUGCGAAGGCAGCCCACUACACAAAUAUUGACGCUGAUGCACGAAAGCGUGGGGAUCAAACAGGAUUAGAUACCCCGGU
This 230-nucleotide ribosomal RNA is filed under the name uncultured bacterium. Its description in RNAcentral is "partial 16S ribosomal RNA". It matches the Rfam family "Bacterial small subunit ribosomal RNA", at positions 562 to 791 of the family's 1533-position model. The record is from RNAcentral.